This is a small nucleolar RNA of Rhodamnia argentea, 79 nucleotides long. RefSeq annotates it as small nucleolar RNA snoR60. The transcript has a single exon. Lineage: Eukaryota; Viridiplantae; Streptophyta; Magnoliopsida; Myrtales; Myrtaceae. The record is from RefSeq and is a predicted model, not a curated record.
AAGCAUUUGAUGAAAAAUUCGGAUUCCCCUUCAAGCCAGUUUGGGUGAUGCAUUACCGAGUUUAACCUUUCAAAUUGUC